Molecule: ribosomal RNA, 545 nt
Filed under: Caridina peninsularis
Lineage: Eukaryota; Metazoa; Arthropoda; Malacostraca; Decapoda; Atyidae
Description: partial 16S ribosomal RNA
Rfam family: Bacterial large subunit ribosomal RNA
Source: RNAcentral
GUCUGCACGGGUGAAUUGAUGUGCAGUCUGGCCUGCCCCCUGAAAUUUUUAAAGGGCCGCGGUAUUUGGACCGUGCUAAGGUAGCAUAAUAAAUAGUCUUUUAAUUGAAGUCUAGUAUGAAUGGUCGGACAUGAAGUAAGCUGUUUUAAUUUUGAUGUUUGAAUUUUACUUUUAAGUGAAAAGGCUUAAAUUAAAUGGUGGGACGAUAAGACCCUAUAAAGCUUUACAUUUUACUUUUCAGUUGCGAGAUUUAAGGUUUCUUAUUCUUAUGAAGUAAGGUGUUUCGUUGGGGCGACGGGAAUAUAAAAUAAGUAACUGUUUUUGUUUGAAAAAUACGUUUUUGUAGUUAAGUUGAUCCUUCUUUGAAGAUUACAAGAUUUAAGUUACUUUAGGGAUAACAGCGUAAUUUAUCUUGAGAGUUCAUAUCGACAGAUAUAGUUGCGACCUCGAUGUUGAAUUAAAAUGUCCUCCAGGUGUAGCAGUUUUGGUGGUGGGUCUGUUCGACCUUUAAAAUUUUACAUGAUUUGAGUUCAGACCGGCGUAAG